This is a non-coding RNA of Parasteatoda tepidariorum (common house spider), 575 nucleotides long. Lineage: Eukaryota; Metazoa; Arthropoda; Arachnida; Araneae; Theridiidae. The record is from RefSeq and is a predicted model, not a curated record.
UCUAUUUCAUAUUAUUAAUGACAAGGAUAUUCAAGAAGCAGUUAGGCAUAUAUAUGCCUAACCGCUAUGAGAAUAAUAAAGAUUUGAAUGUUGCAAAUGGCUGUUUGCUGUUUUUAAUUGUGUGAUGAGUAGCUGAUUCACAUAUAGUAGAUUUAAUGUGUGAUACAUUCAUCUUCAUACACUUGUAAUUUUUAACAUAAUUUGGGGGUAAAUGUACUCCAAAAUCAAAUAACAGGGAAGUUUGCCAUCUUUGAAGAAUCUGUUUUACUACUAGUCUACGAAUGAUGGUCCUUUUUUUUCUACUUUGGUUUAACUAGCUUUGAGCAUGUCUGCUUGUUUUUCUUCAAUGAAAUUUCAAAACUCAUGUCAUUGCAAAGCAACAUAUGGCAUUCUAACAAGACUUUUUGACUGAUGCAUUUAGUUUACAUCAAUGGAAAUUCCAGGAGGAAUCUUUGGUUCUUUGCAUUCUUUAGAACAAAGCAUUUCCAACAGUAAUUAUCCCUUUUACAACAUGGUGAUUCUUUCAAACCUCAUCAAAAUUAAGAAAACUAAUUCAAAAAUUUAAUUUAAACCGU